UACGUAGGGUGCAAGCGUUGUCCGGAAUUAUUGGGCGUAAAGAGCUUGUAGGCGGUUUGUCGCGUCUGCUGUGAAAUUUCGGGGCUCAACCCCGAACUUGCAGUGGGUACGGGCAGACUAGAGUGUGGUAGGGGAGACUGGAAUUCCUGGUGUAGCGGUGAAAUGCGCAGAUAUCAGGAGGAACACCGAUGGCGAAGGCAGGUCUCUGGGCCAUAACUGACGCUGAGAAGCGAAAAGCAUUGGGAGCGAACAG
Molecule: ribosomal RNA, 253 nt
Filed under: uncultured bacterium
Lineage: Bacteria
Description: partial 16S ribosomal RNA
Rfam family: Bacterial small subunit ribosomal RNA
Source: RNAcentral